UGGUAAGCUUUCUAGGUGGCUUCUAAAAAGAGGAGUGAGAGGAGCUGGAGUGUCGAGAGGAGACGGUCGUCGCGUCUAAAUAUCUGUGUUCGAUCGUGUGUCGUUCGAGUCUCGUGGAGCGACCAGAUUCACUAGGAAGAGUUCCUAGUAAACCUACCGGAAGAAGGAGGAGGAGGACACGUAGGAGUAAAGACGCCGGUAGCACAGGAUGCGGGUGGUGCAUUAGGCCGCCGUUGCGGUCCCGACGCGAGUACCGGCGGUACUCGUUCGGCGGGAGUUCGACGGGGAACCGAGGUACCCGGACGGAAUGUAGCCGCUCUGGGAGGUCGAGAUGAGGGUCCUGGGGUCGCAGAAGGAGAGGAGGUUCGUCUUCGCCAUGCCGCUCUAGAAGUUCUGCGUGGAGGAGCCGACGGGCACGCACUACGACCGCUCGGGCCUCCGCCGCGCCAAGCACGACCACAGCGCCCGUUUGGACAAGUUCGGCUGCAUGGGCGCCUCGUUCCUCGCGGAGUAGCCGGGCAGCCGCGAGAAGAAGGUGGUCCCGCUGAUGGUGGAGGCAGAGGCGUCCGAGCAGGUCCCGGGCGAGCCGGGGCUCCGGGACGCGUUCGAGCACGGCCUGUAGCUCCGGCGGCACGCCCGUUGGGAGCGCCGGACCCGCCUGCCGCUGCAGCGGUCGUGGAAGGUGCGGUACUUCUCCGAGAGCAAGCUGCAGCCGUAGCACUGCUAGAAGCCGCCCGCCGACCUGCUCGCCGCCUUCCUCCUCGAGGCCGCCUUGAUGCGGCAGCACCUCUUUCCGAUGUUGAGGAAGGGGUUGUCGAAGGGGCCCUGCGAUAUGAUGUUCCGCUAGGUCCGCUCCGCCGCCGACUUGCCGCACGACUCGCUGUAGGACGUGCUCUCCUCCCUCGCCCCGCUCGGGCCGCUGCUGGACGAGCCGACGGAGUACGCCAGCGCCCGGCCGCCACUGCUGCCGCUGCUCCCGCGCGACAACUGCCUGCUCGUCCAGCGGCUGUUGCAGUAGCCGCACGACAAGCGCCGCGUCCUGUGCUGCCGGUCGCACGAGUGGACCUAGCAGUUCAUGGAGGUGCUGGCCGGCUUCGACGACCUCCGGCACUCCCGCCUCGUGCGGCGCUAGGUGCUCCGGUUGCUGCCGCCCUCCGCCGGCGACUGUACCCGCGUCUGCUCCUCGUACUGCGACUGCGUGUCCCACUAAAACCUCUCGGACUCCUACCGCUCGUAGUAGAGGAAGUGCAAGUCCCUCCGGCACCGGCUGCACCUCAUGUUUCCCAAAGAAUAGGGGUUCCCCACCUUCCACUACGGCGAGAAGUCCUUGUAGGUAGUGUCGGGCCUGAUGAAGGUCCUAGGUGUCUUCAAGCUGGGAAGCUCUAAGUUCCACCGCGGCGCCGGCUCGUGGAAGUGCGGCAAGCCCUCGCCCCACGUGCGCACGGGGCCCUUGCUCGACCGGUUCGAGCUCUACGACCACGAGUAGGUGGUGGACCAGUGGCCGAUGUCCACCCUCCAACAACCUAGCUCGCUGCUGCAGCUCAUGUCGGGUAAGGGACAAGGGGUCUUGCCGGACGAGCGGUCCAAUGCCGCCCUACUGUCGCAGACGCACCCAUCCUUCCCCACGCGCUGACUACUGUUGAUGCUGCUGCUUCUGCUUCACUAUCACACUAAUCAGUUGCAUCUAUCGAUCUCCCGGGAAGAGAGGAAAAAACAACAAUAACAACAACAACAACAACACCGUAAGAAGAGAUCCUUUUAGUAAUCUCUUCUUUGUUGUCUUGCUGAAAAAUCCUACUGCUACUAGUACAUGGCAUCACCAAUACAACAGUUACUACAUAACAGUAACUAUGUGCGUAUUUUACUGCGAAGGAAAAAGGC
Molecule: ribosomal RNA, 1881 nt
Filed under: Triticum aestivum (bread wheat)
Lineage: Eukaryota; Viridiplantae; Streptophyta; Magnoliopsida; Poales; Poaceae
Description: partial small subunit ribosomal RNA
Source: RNAcentral